This 2378-nucleotide long non-coding RNA is filed under the name Sus scrofa (pig). RNAcentral's name for it is "lncRNA (ENSSSCG00000045418.1, ENSSSCG00025020403.1)". The record is from RNAcentral. Lineage: Eukaryota; Metazoa; Chordata; Mammalia; Artiodactyla; Suidae.
CUUUUCUAGGGCUGCUCCCACAGCAUAUGGAGGUUCCCAGGCUAGGGGUCUAAUCAGAGCUGUAGCCACCGGCCUACACCAGAGCCACAGCAACUUGGGAUCCGAGCAGUGUCUGUGACCUACACCACAGCUCAUGGCAACACUGGAUCCUUAACCCACUGAGCAAGGCCAGGGAUCAAACCCUCAACCUCAUGGUUCCUAGCCGAAUUCGUUAACCACUGUGCCACAAUGGGAACUCCUAGAUGUAACUUCUUAUCCCACUAACAUCUUCCUUCUUCUUUUUUUUUUUUUUUUUUUGGUCUUUUUGCCAUUUCUUGGGCCGCACCCGCGGCAUGUGGAAGUUCCCAGGCUAGGGGUCUAAUCAGAGCUGUAGCUGCCGGCCUACACCACAGCCCACAGCAAUUUGGGAUCUGAGCCAUGUCUGCGGCCUACACUACAGCUCACGGCAACGCUGGAUCCUUAAUCCACUGAGCAAGGCUGGGGCUCGAACCCGCAACCUCAUGGUUCCUAGUCGGAUUCGUUAACCACUGAGCCACAACGGGAACUCCGACCUUGACAGUCUUAAGGAGGGUUGGCCAGCUAUCCUGUAGAAUGUCUCCUGGACUGGGUUUGUCAGCUAUUUUUCUUAUAUUGGACUGGGGCUAUGGGACUUGGGAACCUGCCCUUCUCAUCACAUCAUGUCACAUCAGAGAGUGCAGGCAUGACACCCACGUGACAUCACCAAUCAUGUCAGCCCUCAUCCCUUGGGGAAGGCGGUCUCUGUGAGGUUUCACCACUGUAAAUUCAGUUUCCGCUUCCCCAUUCUAUAACUUAUAAGCCACCCAACCCUGUUUUAUUUGCAAUAAAAACAUAAAGAAAUGAGAUGCUGCUUGCAGCUGAGUGUCAUGGAACAAUUCUUGCCUGGUAUAUUUAUAUUUGAACAAGGGUUUUCUUGAAGCCCUCUGCCUCAACCAAAAGUAGCAACUCUAAUGGGAGGAAUUUCAGGCUCUGUGACAGUUGGGUGUGGGCGUGUGGGCUUGGGCGAUAAAUGUAAGCAGCAUUCUCAAGCCUACCUCUCAGUGCCCUGCUCCCCUGCCUAUAUAUAGGGCCAGAGCAUGGAGUAUCCUGUUCAUAACAUCUUAGUGCAGAUUUGAAAACUUAACCCGCCUACAUACACAGGAGGGACUGUCCUACCACCUAUUUUCUAAUACAGGGCAGUGAGUGCAGAUUUAGAAGGGGUGAGGAUGGUUUCCCCAGGACAAAUCAAGCCUCUUUGGUUGAGCACAUAAUGGGAGAGAAGUAUGGCUCCCUGUCUGGUUCAAGUCCAAAGUGUUCCCAAUGAGAGAGCCACUUCAUUUCAAGAGCAAGACCUCCCCCGUAUCUUUGAAAUUGGAAGCCACCUAAAAAGAGAUACGAAAACAGCCUCACCUGUGUUCCUGCUCAUCAAGUAGGAAGUUGCUGCUUUCGACGUCUUGUCAUGGCCACUUUCUGCGCCAGAGAUCACUUUCAGCACCUCUUGUUGUCCCAGCUGUCCCGAUGACCCUGCGAGCUAUGGAUUUUCGGGUUUAACGCUUUAGACAGAAAGUACUUCUGUGGUUGGAAUCGGCAGAAAGAGUCCAUGAAUCAUGCAGACUCUCUGCAAUGACAAAGUAGUUAUUGGAACUUUGCAGAAGUUGUUUAUUGGGCCUCUGACGUGUAGAGAAGCAAGGAAUUUAGCGACAGAUUUAGAGCAAUAAAGCAUGGUAAUGUUUAUUCACACUUUGUGCUGCCAACAUUAAAAUUCAGUUCCAUAAGGCUUUGACUUGGGUCCUUAGCAGAAAUCAUCUCAUAAUAUCCUUCUGACGUGGGCUGUGUGACAACCGUUCUGCAGGAGGUUGGAAUGAGGCAGAGAUUUAAGGGAAGUCUUUAGAUGAGACCAUGGAUGGAGAUCAGGAGGGGACCGGGGUGGGGGGCGGGAAGGUGUUCUGAGGUCAGGAAGGCCCAGCUGAGCACCCUGAGGACUCCUCAAGAUCAAGGCUGGAGCUCAGUUCUCAUGGUCACCUUGACUGGGUUCUACUUCCACCUUUUAUUUAACACCUUUUGCUGGAAGUCGGACUGCUGGGCAGAGGAUUAGGACAAGAUUCUGCCUCGGCUCAUAAGAGGCUUACAGUUUAGAGGGGUGGAGGCAGGGGGAGGGUGACAUGGGACAGACAGGUGAAAAACUGGGCAAUUAAACCAGCGGCUGGUGUUACCCAAGUGGUGACGAGGGUUUGGGGAUGGGGGAUUCCAGGCAAAGACAAGGCAAGUUAGAAGACCCAGAGGCAGGCUGGGAGAGCUGUAGGUAACCAACCCAACCAACCUCCAUGGAAAUAAUGAUGAGAUUUUGUGUCUCAAAAAAAAAAAAAAAAAAAAAAAAAAAA